AGCUCUCUGGUGGUGUUUGGCAAUGGUAGAACUCACACUGGUGAGGUAGAUGGAUCCGGUGGUUCUAGACUUGCCAACUACUGCCUGAGAGUG
Non-coding RNA from Xyrichtys novacula (pearly razorfish), 93 nucleotides. The record is from the annotation of a GenBank genome assembly. Lineage: Eukaryota; Metazoa; Chordata; Actinopteri; Labriformes; Labridae.